RNAcentral lists this ribosomal RNA (322 nucleotides) under uncultured Chloroflexota bacterium. Its description in RNAcentral is "bacterial SSU rRNA". It matches the Rfam family "Bacterial small subunit ribosomal RNA", at positions 28 to 351 of the family's 1533-position model. Lineage: Bacteria; Bacillati; Chloroflexota. The record is from RNAcentral.
GAUGAACGCUGGCGGCGUGCCUAAUACAUGCAAGUCGAACGGAGAAUGUAGCAAUAUAUUCUUAGUGGCGAACGGGUGAGUAACGCGUUGGUGACCUGCCCCGAAGCGGGGGAUAACAGUCCGAAAGGAUUGCUAAUACCCCAUGUGGUCUCUUGGAUUGGAUGCCGGAUGACCAAAGGAGAAAUUCACUUCGGGAGGGGCCUGCGUCCCAUCAGCUAGUUGGUAGGGUAAUGGCCUACCAAGGCGAUGACGGGUAGGGGACCUGAGAGGGUGACCCCCCACACUGACACUGAAAUACGGGUCAGACACCUACGGGUGGCUG